GGACUGUAGCUCAAUGGUAGAGCGCCUGCCUUGCACGUGUGAGACACUGGGUUCGAUCCUCAGCACCA
This 68-nucleotide transfer RNA is filed under the name Marmota monax (woodchuck). RNAcentral's name for it is "tRNA.Ala". The stretch from base 5 to 65 matches the Rfam family "tRNA", at positions 6 to 65 of the family's 71-position model. Rfam says of the family: Transfer RNA (tRNA) molecules are approximately 80 nucleotides in length. Lineage: Eukaryota; Metazoa; Chordata; Mammalia; Rodentia; Sciuridae. The record is from RNAcentral.